UAUCAAUAAGCGGAGGAAAAGAAACUAACAAGGAUUCCCCUAGUAACGGCGAGUGAAGCGGGAACGGCUCAAAUUUGUAAUCUGGCGGUCCACGGCCGUCCGAGUUGUAAUCUGGAGAAGCGUUUUCAGCGCCGGCCCGCGUACAAGUCCCCUGGAACGGGGCGUCGCAGAGGGUGAGAAUCCCGUCUCUGACGCGGUUCGUGCCGGCGCGUUGCGAUGCGCUCUCGAAGAGUCGAGUUGUUUGGGAAUGCAGCUCAAAACGGGUGGUAAAUUCCAUCUAAAGCUAAAUACUGGCGAAAGACCGAUAGCGAACAAGUACCGUGAGGGAAAGAUGAAAAGCACUUUGGAAAGAGAGUCAAACAGUACGUGAAAUUGUUGAAAGGGAAACGCUCCAAGUCAGUCGCGUCCGCCGGGACUCAGUCGCCCCUCUCGAGGAGCGACGUACUUCCCGGGUCGGGACGGGCCAGCGUCGAUUUCGACCGUCGUACAAAGGCGCGAGGAACGUGGCACCUUCGGGUGUGUUAUAGCCUCGCGUUCCGCAUGCGACGGUGGGGAUCGAGGAUCGCAGCGCGCCUCCAACGGUCGGGGUUCGCCCACGUAACGCGCUUGGGACGCUGGCUUAAUGGCUUCGAGCGACCCGUCUUG
This 645-nucleotide ribosomal RNA is filed under the name Phallus echinovolvatus. RNAcentral describes it as "partial large subunit ribosomal RNA". It matches the Rfam family "Eukaryotic large subunit ribosomal RNA", at positions 41 to 656 of the family's 3401-position model. Lineage: Eukaryota; Fungi; Basidiomycota; Agaricomycetes; Phallales; Phallaceae. The record is from RNAcentral.